Molecule: ribosomal RNA, 252 nt
Filed under: uncultured bacterium
Lineage: Bacteria
Description: partial 16S ribosomal RNA
Rfam family: Bacterial small subunit ribosomal RNA
Source: RNAcentral
UACGAAGGGGGCUAGCGUUGCUCGGAAUUACUGGGCGUAAAGGGAGCGUAGGCGGGUUAUCAAGUUGGAGGUGAAAGCCCAGGGCUCAACCUUGGAAUUGCCUUCAAAACUGAUAGCCUAGAGUAUGAUAGAGGUAAGUGGAACUCCGAGUGUAGAGGUGAAAUUCGUAGAUAUUCGGAAGAACACCAGUGGCGAAGGCGACUUACUGGAUCAUGACUGACGCUGAGGCUCGAAAGCGUGGGGAGCAAACAG